GCCUGGCUGGCUCAGUCAGUAGAGCACAUGACUCUUGAUCUCGGGGUCAUGAGUUCAAGCCUCACACUGGGCA
This 73-nucleotide transfer RNA is filed under the name Ailuropoda melanoleuca (giant panda). It matches the Rfam family "tRNA". From Rfam's summary of the family: Transfer RNA (tRNA) molecules are approximately 80 nucleotides in length. Their secondary structure includes four short double-helical elements and three loops (D, anti-codon, and T loops). Lineage: Eukaryota; Metazoa; Chordata; Mammalia; Carnivora; Ursidae. The record is from Rfam by way of RNAcentral.